UGAGAAAGAAAGCGCUUUUCUUGAGCUGGC
Molecule: non-coding RNA, 30 nt
Filed under: Mus musculus (house mouse)
Lineage: Eukaryota; Metazoa; Chordata; Mammalia; Rodentia; Muridae
Source: RNAcentral